AGUGAAGUAUGUAAGAAACACAGUUACCAUAUUUUGUGGACUAUAAGAUGUACAUUUUCCCCCCUAAAUUUGGGAGGAAUAAUGGUUGUUAAUGCUGCUGUUGAGUUCUGUUUACAUUUACAUUGGUGAAAUAUUAUGUUAUUUAUGUUAUUAAAUAUUUUACCACAGUUUUUGCUUCAAAA
This is a long non-coding RNA of Phyllostomus discolor (pale spear-nosed bat), 182 nucleotides long. RefSeq lists it as uncharacterized. Lineage: Eukaryota; Metazoa; Chordata; Mammalia; Chiroptera; Phyllostomidae. The transcript has 4 exons. The record is from RefSeq and is a predicted model, not a curated record.